GGAAACGAAGUCGGAAAGCAGAUUUAAAUCAAUUUUGGAGCGUUAGUUCUGUUUGUCGGUACUGUGAGGGAACGUUGUUAUCGAAGAGGUUUGGAUGUUAAAACAAACUCUGGAGCUGCUUUUCUUGUCGAACUUGAGUGAGACUGGACGCUGAACACACCUUCGGCGUGAAGGUUCAGCUGCUGCAGCCUGGACAGAAACACCAGCUCUCACCUGACAAACCAAACAGGUUCCUCUUUGAUUUCCUCCAGGUGUCACCACUUCCUCUAUGACGUUAUCCACGAUCACACAGACAUGGUUCAUGAUGGGAGAGACAUUGUCCGCGAUCACAAAGAAAUAGUCCACGAUCACCAAGACGUCGUCCAUGAUCACAGAGAUGAAGAAGUUCUUUGAGACCAGGACAGAGGCCUCCAGGUGUCACCACUUUGUCCACAACAUCGUCCACAAUUGCUGAGACGUCGUCCAUCAUCGGAGAGACAUUGUUGAAGAUGAGGGAGACAUCGUCCACGAUCAGAGACAUUGUCUGUGACUCGUGGUGACUCAGUCCCCGAUUAGUCGGCAUUGCCGGCGUUCAUGGAGACAUUGUCGAUGAUCGCAGAGACUUUGUCCAUGAUCUCAGAGACAUUGUCCGUGAUCACUGAGAGUCUUCAGUGAAGUUCUUUGAGACCAGGACAGAGGCCUCCAGGUGUCACCACUUCGUCCACGACAUCGUCCACAAUUGCUGAGACGUCGUCCAUGAUCGGAGAGACAUUGUUGAGGAUGAGGGAGACAUCGUCCACAAUCAGAGACAUUGUCCGUGACUCGUGGUGACUCGGUCCCCGAUAAGUCGGCAUUGCCGGCGUUCAUGGAGACAUUGUCGAUGAUCGCGGAGACUUUGUCCAUAAUCUCAGAGACAUUGUCCGCGAUCACAGAGACGACGUCCACGAUCGCAGAGACAUGGUCCACGAUCGGAGAGACAUUGUUGAGGAUGAGGGAGACAUCGUCCACGAUCAGAGACGUUGUCCGUGAUCGCAGAGACCUUGUCAAAGAUGAGAGAGACGUUGUCCAUGGUCAGAGACAUUGUCGCUGCUUCGCAGAGCUCUGCGCAAGAGUCGGUAGUGACACUGUGGUUCCUCGAUUCGACGGCAUGACCGCGAUCAGCUGACAUUGUUAAUGAUCACAGAGAAACAGUCUAUCAUCUGAGACUUGGUCCACGAUCACAGAUAUAUUGUCAAUGAUCGCAGAGACUUUGUUCAUAAUCUCAGAGACAUUGUCCGCGAUCACAGAGACGUAGUCCAUGAUCACAGAAGACCAGGUGUCACCACUUCGUCUACGACAUCGUCCACGAUCGCUGAGCCGUCGUCCACGAUCGGAGAGACAUUGUUGAGGAUGAGGGAGACAUCGUCCACGAUCAGAGACAUUGUCCGUGACUCGUGGUGACUCGGUCCCCGAUUAGUCGGCAUUGCCGGCGUUCAUGGAGACAUUGUCAAUGAUCGCUGAGACUUUGUCCAUGAUCUCAGAGACAUUGUCCGCAAUCACAGAGACGACGUCCACGAUCGCAGAGUCAUGGUCCACAAUCGCAGAGACUUCAGUGAAGUUCUUUGAGACCAGGAUAGAGGCCUCCAGGUGUCACCACUUCGUCCACGACAUCGUCCACAAUUGCUGAGACGUCGUCCAUGAUCGGAGAGACAUUGUUGAGGAUGAGGGAGACAUCGUCCACGAUCAGAGACAUUGUCCGUGACUCGUGGUGACUCGGUCCCCGAUAAGUCGGCAUUGCCGGCGUUCAUGGAGACAUUGUCGAUGAUCGCGGAGACUUUGUCCAUAAUCUCAGAGACAUUGUCCGCGAUCACAGAGACGACGUCCACGAUCGCAGAGACAUGGUCCACGAUCGGAGAGACAUUGUUGAGGAUGAGGGAGACAUCGUCCACGAUCAGAGACGUUGUCCGUGAUCGCAGAGACCUUGUCAAAGAUGAGAGAGACGUUGUCCAUGGUCAGAGACAUUGUCGCUGCUUCGCAGAGCUCUGCGCAAGAGUCGGUAGUGACACUGUGGUUCCUCGAUUCGACGGCAUGACCGCGAUCAGCUGACAUUGUUAAUGAUCACAGAGAAACAGUCUAUCAUCAGAGACUUGGUCCACGAUCACAGAUAUAUUGUCAAUGAUCGCAGAGACUUUGUUCAUAAUCUCAGAGACAUUGUCCGCGAUCACAGAGACGUAGUCCAUGAUCACAGAAGACCAGGUGUCACCACUUCGUCUACGACAUCGUCCACGAUCGCUGAGCCGUCGUCCACGAUCGGAGAGACAUUGUUGAGGAUGAGGGAGACAUCGUCCACGAUCAGAGACAUUGUCCGUGACUCGUGGUGACUCGGUCCCCGAUUAGUCGGCAUUGCCGGCGUUCAUGGAGACAUUGUCAAUGAUCGCUGAGACUUUGUCCAUGAUCUCAGAGACAUUGUCCGCGAUCACAGAGACGACGUCCACGAUCGCAGAGUCAUGGUCCACAAUCGCAGAGACUUCAGUGAAGUUCUUUGAGACCAGGAUAGAGGCCUCCAGGUGUCACCACUUCGUCCACGACAUCGUCCACAAUUGCUGAGACGUCGUCCAUGAUCGGAGAGACAUUGUUGAGGAUGAGGGAGACAUCGUCCACGAUCAGAGACAUUGUCCGUGACUCGUGGUGACUCGGUCCCCGAUAAGUCGGCAUUGCCGGCGUUCAUGGAGACAUUGUCGAUGAUCGCGGAGACUUUGUCCAUAAUCUCAGAGACAUUGUCCGCGAUCACAGAGACGACGUCCACGAUCGCAGAGACAUGGUCCACGAUCGGAGAGACAUUGUUGAGGAUGAGGGAGACAUCGUCCACGAUCAGAGACGUUGUCCGUGAUCGCAGAGACCUUGUCAAAGAUGAGAGAGACGUUGUCCAUGGUCAGAGACAUUGUCGCUGCUUCGCAGAGCUCUGCGCAAGAGUCGGUAGUGACACUGUGGUUCCUCGAUUCGACGGCAUGACCGCGAUCAGCUGACAUUGUUAAUGAUCACAGAGAAACAGUCUAUCAUCAGAGACUUGGUCCACGAUCACAGAUAUAUUGUCAAUGAUCGCAGAGACUUUGUUCAUAAUCUCAGAGACAUUGUCCGCGAUCACAGAGACGUAGUCCAUGAUCACAGAAGACCAGGUGUCACCACUUCGUCUACGACAUCGUCCACGAUCGCUGAGCCGUCGUCCACGAUCGGAGAGACAUUGUUGAGGAUGAGGGAGACAUCGUCCACGAUCAGAGACAUUGUCCGUGACUCGUGGUGACUCGGUCCCCGAUUAGUCGGCAUUGCCGGCGUUCAUGGAGACAUUGUCAAUGAUCGCUGAGACUUUGUCCAUGAUCUCAGAGACAUUGUCCGCGAUCACAGAGACGACGUCCACGAUCGCAGAGUCAUGGUCCACAAUCGCAGAGACUUCAGUGAAGUUCUUUGAGACCAGGAUAGAGGCCUCCAGGUGUCACCACUUCGUCCACGACAUCGUCCACAAUUGCUGAGACGUCGUCCAUGAUCGGAGAGACAUUGUUGAGGAUGAGGGAGACAUCGUCCACGAUCAGAGACAUUGUCCGUGACUCGUGGUGACUCGGUCCCCGAUAAGUCGGCAUUGCCGGCGUUCAUGGAGACAUUGUCGAUGAUCGCGGAGACUUUGUCCAUAAUCUCAGAGACAUUGUCCGCGAUCACAGAGACGACGUCCACGAUCGCAGAGACAUGGUCCACGAUCGGAGAGACAUUGUUGAGGAUGAGGGAGACAUCGUCCACGAUCAGAGACGUUGUCCGUGAUCGCAGAGACCUUGUCAAAGAUGAGAGAGACGUUGUCCAUGGUCAGAGACAUUGUCGCUGCUUCGCAGAGCUCUGCGCAAGAGUCGGUAGUGACACUGUGGUUCCUCGAUUCGACGGCAUGACCGCGAUCAGCUGACAUUGUUAAUGAUCACAGAGAAACAGUCUAUCAUCAGAGACUUGGUCCACGAUCACAGAUAUAUUGUCAAUGAUCGCAGAGACUUUGUUCAUAAUCUCAGAGACAUUGUCCGCGAUCACAGAGACGUAGUCCAUGAUCACAGAAGACCAGGUGUCACCACUUCGUCUACGACAUCGUCCACGAUCGCUGAGCCGUCGUCCACGAUCGGAGAGACAUUGUUGAGGAUGAGGGAGACAUCGUCCACGAUCAGAGACAUUGUCCGUGACUCGUGGUGACUCGGUCCCCGAUUAGUCGGCAUUGCCGGCGUUCAUGGAGACAUUGUCAAUGAUCGCUGAGACUUUGUCCAUGAUCUCAGAGACAUUGUCCGCGAUCACAGAGACGACGUCCACGAUCGCAGAGUCAUGGUCCACAAUCGCAGAGACUUCAGUGAAGUUCUUUGAGACCAGGAUAGAGGCCUCCAGGUGUCACCACUUCGUCCACGACAUCGUCCACAAUUGCUGAGACGUCGUCCAUGAUCGGAGAGACAUUGUUGAGGAUGAGGGAGACAUCGUCCACGAUCAGAGACAUUGUCCGUGACUCGUGGUGACUCGGUCCCCGAUAAGUCGGCAUUGCCGGCGUUCAUGGAGACAUUGUCGAUGAUCGCGGAGACUUUGUCCAUAAUCUCAGAGACAUUGUCCGCGAUCACAGAGACGACGUCCACGAUCGCAGAGACAUGGUCCACGAUCGGAGAGACAUUGUUGAGGAUGAGGGAGACAUCGUCCACGAUCAGAGACGUUGUCCGUGAUCGCAGAGACCUUGUCAAAGAUGAGAGAGACGUUGUCCAUGGUCAGAGACAUUGUCGCUGCUUCGCAGAGCUCUGCGCAAGAGUCGGUAGUGACACUGUGGUUCCUCGAUUCGACGGCAUGACCGCGAUCAGCUGACAUUGUUAAUGAUCACAGAGAAACAGUCUAUCAUCUGAGACUUGGUCCACGAUCACAGAUAUAUUGUCAAUGAUCGCAGAGACUUUGUUCAUAAUCUCAGAGACAUUGUCCGCGAUCACAGAGACGACGUCCACGAUCGCAGAGUCAUGGUCCACAAUCGCAGAGACUUCAGUGAAGUUCUUUGAGACCAGGAUAGAGGCCUCCAGGUGUCACCACUUCGUCCACGACAUCGUCCACAAUUGCUGAGACGUCGUCCAUGAUCGGAGAGACAUUGUUGAGGAUGAGGGAGACAUCGUCCACGAUCAGAGACAUUGUCCGUGACUCGUGGUGACUCGGUCCCCGAUAAGUCGGCAUUGCCGGCGUUCAUGGAGACAUUGUCGAUGAUCGCGGAGACUUUGUCCAUAAUCUCAGAGACAUUGUCCGCGAUCACAGAGACGACGUCCACGAUCGCAGAGACAUGGUCCACGAUCGGAGAGACAUUGUUGAGGAUGAGGGAGACAUCGUCCACGAUCAGAGACGUUGUCCGUGAUCGCAGAGACCUUGUCAAAGAUGAGAGAGACGUUGUCCAUGGUCAGAGACAUUGUCGCUGCUUCGCAGAGCUCUGCGCAAGAGUCGGUAGUGACACUGUGGUUCCUCGAUUCGACGGCAUGACCGCGAUCAGCUGACAUUGUUAAUGAUCACAGAGAAACAGUCUAUCAUCUGAGACUUGGUCCACGAUCACAGAUAUAUUGUCAAUGAUCGCAGAGACUUUGUUCAUAAUCUCAGAGACAUUGUCCGCGAUCACAGAGACGUAGUCCAUGAUCACAGAAGACCAGGUGUCACCACUUCGUCUACGACAUCGUCCACGAUCGCUGAGCCGUCGUCCACGAUCGGAGAGACAUUGUUGAGGAUGAGGGAGACAUCGUCCACGAUCAGAGACAUUGUCCGUGACUCGUGGUGACUCGGUCCCCGAUUAGUCGGCAUUGCCGGCGUUCAUGGAGACAUUGUCAAUGAUCGCUGAGACUUUGUCCAUGAUCUCAGAGACAUUGUCCGCGAUCACUGAGAGUCUUCAGUGAAGUUCUUUGAGACCAGGACAGAGGCCUCCAGGUGUCACCACUUCGUCCACGACAUCGUCCACAAUUGCUGAGACGUCGUCCAUGAUCGGAGAGACAUUGUUGAGGAUGAGGGAGACAUCGUCCACGAUCAGAGACAUUGUCCGUGACUCGUGGUGACUCGGUCCCCGAUAAGUCGGCAUUGCCGGCGUUCAUGGAGACAUUGUCGAUGAUCGCGGAGACUUUGUCCAUAAUCUCAGAGACAUUGUCCGCGAUCACAGAGACGACGUCCACGAUCGCAGAGACAUGGUCCACGAUCGGAGAGACAUUGUUGAGGAUGAGGGAGACAUCGUCCACGAUCAGAGACGUUGUCCGUGAUCGCAGAGACCUUGCUAAAGAUGAGAGAGCCGAUGUCCACCAUUUGCAGAGACAUAUACAAUGGUUGGAGACUUGAGUCACUGAUUUUAUGGUAUUGCCCGCAUUUGGUAGUCUGUAUUAAUUGAAGUAAUUUAAAAGUAAUUAGCAAUAUCAGAAGCAAUAGUCAAAGUCUGUUACUAGAUCUAGUUUGCAACAGUAAAAAUUAUCUGUAAAUUUUGAAGUAAUAAGAAAUGAGAAAAGUAAUAUGUAAUGGUGAAAAUAAUCUAUUAUUAGAGGUAGCAGUGAGAGUGAUUUAAAAGAAAAAAAUACAAUAAAAAAUGUCAUGUUAUAGUAAAGAAUCAAAAAAUGUAUGAGAAAUGUCAGUUUAGCAAGCUUCAAAAACGUGAUAAAAUGGUCUGUCUAUACCAGGGGUCAGCAACCUUUACCACUCAAAGAGCCAUCUGGACCCGUUUCCCACAGUAAAGAAAACACUGGGAGCCACAAAACCCUUUUGACAUUUAAAACACUGCAUAUAAUGGUUAGUUUUAUAAUAAUAAUAAUGUGUUGCAUUUUUGAAAUCAAUGAACGACUGCAGAGAAAACAAAAUUACAUUUCUGCAUGAAACAAAAAACAUUUUGAAUUCCGAAAAAAGGCGUUGGGUUGAAGCUUUCAAGUAAAAUACUCAAUGUCCAUUUGAGUCCUUCUUGUACUUAUGAAAAAAACUCCGAACCUAAAUUAUCCACCGGCAGCAAACCAAAAAUGCCAUCCUCUCUCUGUGUGCCGUCAUCCUUUUACUGGCGCGUGCAGUCAGCUGUCAACCUGAAUAAUAAAAGGACUAUUUCACUGAAUGAAAAAAUAUGAAUAUAUGCAAAAUAAUAGGCAAUUAAUAUAUUUAUCAUACUUGGUUAAUGUAAUUUCUGCUCCUGAACCUCAGCGCACAGCAUCUGCACAUCAGGGCUGUAUGCCGUCACCUUCAUCUUUACACAGGAUCGUAAGCUGUCAUCUGUGAGGCGUGCGUGAUGUUUGCUUUUAAUAAAAUUCAUGUUGGAAAACACCUGCUCACAUACAUAUGUGGAUCCAAAGAUCGACAGGACUCCAAGUGCAUACUUUUUCAUGUUCACAUAAACGUUGGGGAUAGCAUUCCAAGUUUCGAACACAAGUUUGUCUGGUUUGGGGAGGUUUUCAAUAUCACGCCAUUUGUGACUCUGAGCGAGAACGGCCUUCUGAUGGGCAACAUCUUCAGGGUCUGCUGUCAGGCGUUUAAACUUGGACACCCAUAUGUCUUUGUCGGCUAUGUCGGCCAGUUCCAUCUCAAGAUCAGGUUGACUCACACCUGCCAAUGCAGUCGUAUUCAGCAGGGAUGGAUCGAGGUUCAGGGGACAGGGAAGGAUAAUGUGGUUUUUUCCUCUCUGAACUCACAGAAUCGCUUCCCAAACGAUGUUUGCAUUGUGAUGAUUGCAGAAUGUAGAUACUCCGAAUUUAUCACGUGAGCUUCUUUGGACUCUUUCAGAUUGGGGAAGUGUGACAGUGUACCUUUCUGUAAAUCUCUGGCAAGCACUGUCAACUUGCGCUCGAAUGCCAAAACCUCCUCCAACAUGUGCAGGGCUGUGCGUCCUUUCCCCUGAAGAGCUGUGUUCAGCGUGUUCAGGUGCACUGUCAUGUCUACCAUGAAGUGUAGCUUUUCCAGCCACUCUGGCUGUUCCAGCUCAGGAAAUGUGAGCCCUUUGCUGCCCAGGAAAGUUUUCACUUCUUCCAGACACGUGGCGAAGCAUUUCAGCACCUCCCCUCUGGACAGCCACCGGACUUUGUUGUGCAGCAGGAGAUCAGAAUAUGUGCUUUCCAGCUCGUCCAGUAAAGAACGGAACUGACGGUGAUUUAAACCUUUUGCCAUUAUUUUACUGACAAUCUGAAUGACAACAUUCAUUACUUCUGUGCAUUCUGGAGGAAAUGUUUGAGCACAGAGUGCCUCUUGGUGCAGGAUGCAGUGAAAAGUCAGCAGCUUUCUGUCCAGUGACUUCUGCGGUCCUGUCAUACUUGGUGCCCCAUCAGUAGCCACUGACACCAGGUGGGUGGUGUUUAUUCCUUUGGCUCUUAAACAAUUCAAGACAGCCUCACAGAUGUCCUUCCCCCCGUGUUUGGCCUUUUAGCGGUAUCAGCUCAAUCAUUUCUUCCUGUGGCCCAGCAGAGUUUACAUACCGGCAGAACAGCGCUAUUUGUUCAAUAUCACUUUUGUCUUUGGAUGCAUCACAGGCAAUUGAGUAGGCCACAGCUGAAUUGAUGUCUUUAAUUUGCUGUCUGGUGAUGUCUUCUGCCAUUUUUAUGGUUCUAUCUUUGGACAGUCUUUGCAGAGAGGGGCAUAUCCCUGAUUUUCUUCACAAUUUCACUUUUGUUUUUAAAGUGUGAAUAGAUGUUCUGAAAUCUUAAUGAAAGAUUCUUUUAUAUAUUGGCCAUCUGUGAACGGCUUCCCAUGCCUGACUAUUUCCUGAGCGGCUACAAAACUAGCAUAUGUACCUGAAUUUGCAGACAUCAUCCACUUCUUGAGGUGAUUUUUGCUCAGAUCAACCUUCCGCAUCUGUUCCGAAACAGCUUUUUUUCUCUUAUCUCCAUCCGGAUAUUUUUGAGCAAAGACUGCGUGUUUAUUCUGGAAAUGUCUUGCAACAUUUGACUUUUUGUUGUUUGCUAGUUUCUCAUUACUUACCAGCAAACUGGUAAACCAGUCUUGUCGGCAGUGAAAGCAAAUGAAUCUGCCCACGUAGCAUUGAACGUUCUGUUUUCUUCAGACACUUUUCUUAGAAUUAUCCAUAGUUGGCCUACCUGGGGUUCGAAAAGUUCAAGAAAUCACGCGCUGAAGGGUGUCGCACAUUGGCGGUUGUGAUGCAUAUUAAGAGCGACAAAAAUUUUUAACACAUUUUAUUUAGAUGUUACAAGAUCACCAUAAUCUUCAAAUUUAGAAUUACAUUUUUAAAAACAAAUGAACUAAAAUAAAAUACAUUUUAAUUAAAUACUCAUUAAUCAUUUUCAAAAGCCACAGGGAGCUGCAUGCUGCUCCGGAGUCGUGGGUUGCCAGCCUCAACAAUUUUAUAAAAAUGUCAUAGUAUAGGAUGUUGUCAAAAAUAUGAUAAAAAUGUCACAGCAAAGCAUGUCGUCAAAAACGUGAUAAAAAGUCAGAAUAGCAUGGCAUCAAAAAUGUGAUUAAAAUGUUACAGUAUAGGAUGUCAAAUAUCGAAUCAAAAGGGCAUAUAGCAUGUGGUCAAAAACGUCAUAGUAUAGCAUGUUAUCAAAAAUGUGAUAAAAAUGCCACAGCAUAGGAUGUCGUCAAAUAUCUGAUCAAACAGUCGUAUAGCAUGUCAUGAAAAAUGUGAUAAAGAUGUUAGCUUGUAGCAUUGACAAAAAUAUGAUAGAAAUGUCACAGUAUAACAUGUUGUCAAAAAUGUGAUAAAGUCAUAGUAUAGCAUGUCGUGAAAAUGUAUUAAAGUGACAAAUGCGCUAAAAAUUUAAUAAUAUAGAACGUCAACAAAAAUACAGUAUAGCAUGUCGCCAAAAAUGUAAUAAAAAUGUCACAGUAUAGCAUGUUGUCAACAAUGAUAAAGUCAUAGUAUAGCAUGUUAUGUUGUUAGCAUGUGUUAAAAAAGUCAGAAUAGCAUGGCAUCAAAAAUGUGUUAAAAGUGACAUAGAAUGUCAACAAAAAUACAUAUCAUCUCACCAAAAUUGUGAUAAAAAUAUCACAGUAUAGGAUGUUGUUAAAAAUUGGAUUAUAAUGUCACAGCAUGGGAUAUCAAAUAUCGGAUCAAAAAGUCGUAUAGCAUGUUGAGAAUGAGUCAUUGUCAUUGAAUAGCAUAACAUCAAAAUGUGAUAAAAAUGUCAUAGUAUAGGAUGUCAAUUUUUUUUUUCAAAAAGGUUAAAAUAAAAGUCAUAAUAUAGUAAGGUAUCAAAUAGCAUUUUCUUUUUCCCAUUGACUCAGUAACAUAACUUUACCUUAUGUUGUAUAUCCCACCUGUCUAGGCACAGGACGGAACUUUGCCCAUGUAUGUGUUGAUUUGUUUCUGCAUAUUACUUGAGUUUUGUUGUUUACAGUGUUUACAGUCAGGUUUCUGAUUAAUGUUAGCAUGUUCACAACCUAACUUGUAGGUUAUGUUAGAUUUUGUGUUUGUCAUUUCAUUUUGAUGUUUGUUUAAAUAAAUACUUCUGA
Lates calcarifer (barramundi perch) is the source of this 10401-nucleotide long non-coding RNA. RefSeq lists it as uncharacterized. The transcript has 11 exons. NCBI's taxonomy places the organism in Eukaryota, Metazoa, Chordata, Actinopteri, Centropomidae. The record is from RefSeq and is a predicted model, not a curated record.